ACGGCGGUGGUAACUAUAACCAUCCUAAGGUAGCGAAAUUCCUUGUCGGGUAAGUUCCGACCUGCACGAAUGGCGUAACGACUCCCCUGCUGUCUCAACCACAGACCCGGUGAAAUUGCACUACGAGUAAAGAUGCUCGUUACGCGCGGCAGGACGAAAAGACCCCGGGACCUUCACUAUAGCUUGGUAUUGGCAUUCGGUGCGGUUUGUGUAGGAUAGGUGGGAGACGUUGAAGCGGCCACG
RNAcentral lists this ribosomal RNA (243 nucleotides) under Corynebacterium sp. HMSC034B08. Its description in RNAcentral is "partial 23S ribosomal RNA". It matches the Rfam family "Bacterial large subunit ribosomal RNA", at positions 1927 to 2170 of the family's 2925-position model. Lineage: Bacteria; Bacillati; Actinomycetota; Actinomycetes; Mycobacteriales; Corynebacteriaceae. The record is from RNAcentral.